CUUCCAAAAGAUACAAGUAUCCUCAUGAUAUUCCUUGGUGUUGCGGCUUCUCUUCUACAGGGCCAGUAAUUCAUGGACAUGUACAAAUGCAAUAACUUUUUGCAACCUUAACAAUGUCUGUCUGGCUGGCCAAAAAACAUAUACAGAUGAUCAUAAUCUUUCUCGGUAGCAAUCCAAACAUACGUAACGCGCACUUUCUCGUGCUUGUGAGUUCCUAACUAAACCUUCGAUUUGCUUCAUAUUAAACUCAUUUUUAUUAGCUACUAGCUGUCUAGGAACAGCAUGUUUUUAAAUUGUUAAAAUACAUGCUUAACGAGAUAGUUAUAGUUAUUAGUCGCUUUGGAACGGAGCUUAGAAAACUGUUGUUACGGAAUAUAUUUACAUGAGAUGAUCAAUUUUAUAGAGAUGGAUUGUGUAUUAAAGUGGUAGAUGUUCAUUUUGUGGAUAGAGAUGUGUUGUUUGCUUUUUUUUUUUUUUUUUUUGUUUUUCUUUUGGAUGUAAAGUAAUUGAAUUCCUCUUUAUUGUGAUUGUCUUUUGAUUUAUGGGAAUUCCUCUCUCUUUACAGGAAUUAAUUGAUUCAAACUUGAGGUUUGACCAACUGCCCUGCUUAAAUUAGAAAUAGAAAAAAAUUGAUCAAAGUAAUUGAAAAGAUUAGUUUGUUGGUUAAGUCAGUUAAAAAAAGAAAAAAGAAAAUUGAUUAUUAUUAUUUUUGAAACCAAUUCAUUAAACAACUUGAGAGUAUGCAUAUUCUGGGGAAUAUUGUCUCCCAG
Molecule: long non-coding RNA, 770 nt
Filed under: Carica papaya (papaya)
Lineage: Eukaryota; Viridiplantae; Streptophyta; Magnoliopsida; Brassicales; Caricaceae
Description: long non-coding RNA (CPAP_LNC013403)
Source: RNAcentral